UACAGAGGGCGCGAGCGUUGUCCGGAAUCAUUGGGCGUAAAGGGUGCGUAGGUGGCGCCGUAAGUCGGGUGUGAAAUUUCGGAGCUUAACUCCGAAACUGCAUUCGAUACUGCGGUGCUUGAGGACUGGAGAGGAGACUGGAAUUCAUGGUGUAGCAGUGAAAUGCGUAGAUAUCAGAUAGAACACCAAUGGCGAAGGCAGUUGCCUGGCUCAAAACUGACGCUAAAGCACGAAAGUGUGGGGAGCAAACAGG
Molecule: ribosomal RNA, 253 nt
Filed under: uncultured bacterium
Lineage: Bacteria
Description: partial 16S ribosomal RNA
Rfam family: Bacterial small subunit ribosomal RNA
Source: RNAcentral